CAAUAGCGUAUAUUAAAGUUGUUGCGGUUAAAAAGCUCGUAGUUGGAUUUCUGUUGAGGACGACCGGUCCGCACUAUGUGCGUGUAUCUGGUUCGGCCUUGGCAUCCUUCUGGGGAACGGUGCUGCGCUUGAUUGCGUGGUCCGGUAUUCAGAACUUUUACUUUGAGGAAAUUAGAGUGUUUACGGCAGGCAAUCGCCUUGAAUAUAUUAGCAUGGAAUAAUACUAUAGGACCUUGGUUCUAUUUUGUUGGUUUCUAGAACUAAGGUAAUGAUUAAUAGGGAUAAUUGGGGGCAUUCGUAUUAACACGUCAGAGGUGAAAUUCUUGGAUUGUGUUACGACGAACUACUGCGAAAGCAUUUGCCAAGGAUGUUUUCAUUAA
Molecule: ribosomal RNA, 380 nt
Filed under: uncultured eukaryote
Lineage: Eukaryota
Description: partial 18S ribosomal RNA
Rfam family: Eukaryotic small subunit ribosomal RNA
Source: RNAcentral